AUUGAACGCUGGCGGAAUGCUUUACACAUGCAAGUCGAACGGCAGCACGGGGGCAACCCUGGUGGCGAGUGGCGAACGGGUGAGUAAUGUAUCGGAACGUGCCCAGUCGUGGGGGAUAACGUAGUGAAAAUUACGCUAAUACGGCAUACGAUCUACGGAUGAAAGAGGGGGAUCGCAAGACCUCGAGCGCUUGGAGCGGGCGAUAUCAGAUUAGGUAGUUGGUGGGGUAAAGGCUCACCAAGCCAACGAUCUGUAGCUGGUCUGAGAGGACGACCGGCCACACUGGAACUGAGACACGGUCCAGACUCCUACGGGAGGCAGCAGUGGGGAAUUUUGGACAAUGGGCGAAAGCCUGGUCCAGCCAUUCCGCGUGCAGGAUGAAGGCCUUCGGGUUGUAAACUGCUUUUGUACGGAGCGAAAAGGCUCUCUCUAAUACAGGGGGCUCAUGACGGUACCGUAAGAAUAAGCACCGGCUAACUACGUGCCAGCCGCCGCGGUAA
Molecule: ribosomal RNA, 500 nt
Filed under: uncultured bacterium
Lineage: Bacteria
Description: partial 16S ribosomal RNA
Rfam family: Bacterial small subunit ribosomal RNA
Source: RNAcentral